ACAGAGGUGCCAAGCGUUAGGCGGAAUCACUGGGCUUAAAGCGUGUGUAGGCGGAAUGGUAAGUACCUUGUGAAAUCCCACAGCUCAACUGUGGAACUGCUCGGUAUACUGCUUUUCUUGAGCCACUUAGGGGCUGUCGGAACAAACGGUGGAGCGGUGAAAUGCGUAGAUAUCGGGAGGAACACCAGUGGCGAAGGCGGCUUCCUGGACCAGUACUGACGCUGAGGCGCGAAAGCUAGGGGAGCAAACAGGA
This 253-nucleotide ribosomal RNA is filed under the name uncultured prokaryote. RNAcentral's name for it is "partial 16S ribosomal RNA". It matches the Rfam family "Bacterial small subunit ribosomal RNA", at positions 525 to 777 of the family's 1533-position model. The record is from RNAcentral.